UACGUAGGGAGCAAGCGUUGUCCGGAAUUAUUGGGCGUAAAGGGCGCGUAGGCGGCCAUGCGUGUCUUCCGUGAAAUCCCUCGGCUUAACUGAGGACGUGCGGAAGAAACUGCAAGGCUCGAGUCCGGGAGAGGGGGGUGGAAUUCCCAGUGUAGCGGUGAAAUGCGUAGAUAUUGGGAGGAACACCGGUGGCGAAGGCGGCCCCCUGGACCGGUACUGACGCUGAGGCGCGAAAGCGUGGGUAGCAAACGGG
Molecule: ribosomal RNA, 253 nt
Filed under: uncultured bacterium
Lineage: Bacteria
Description: partial 16S ribosomal RNA
Rfam family: Bacterial small subunit ribosomal RNA
Source: RNAcentral